Pipra filicauda (Wire-tailed manakin) is the source of this 418-nucleotide long non-coding RNA. RefSeq lists it as uncharacterized. The transcript is spliced from 2 exons. Lineage: Eukaryota; Metazoa; Chordata; Aves; Passeriformes; Pipridae. The record is from RefSeq and is a predicted model, not a curated record.
GCUCCCUCAGCUGCAGUGUCCCGCCACUCCCCGGUCCGUGAGGCGGGCGCAGGUGAAAGUUGCUUUGGAGAAAUUCGGUAAAAGGUUGUGGAGUCGUCCUAGAGAAGAUUUUGGGCUAUUACAGAGGUAAUACAGAGUGCUGAGCAGCAGCGUCAAAAGGGCAGCACGGUCUUUCAGUGGAGUUAUUGAGGAAAAAGCGUCUUGAACUUCGUCACCCUUACUGAGAAGCGAGGAAGAAGAAAGAAGAGACUGGAGUGGAACUUCGAGGCAAGAGAAAAGAAGAAGAGCAGCAGCAUAGAGCUAAAGAGUGGACCGGCGAGGCAAGAGCCAGGAAGAAGAGCGUCGGCUUCGCGCUCAAGAGGGGGCGGGAGAAGGGCCCUCUGGGCAAAGGCCCCUCCCUGGCAUGACCCGGGGCAGG